Molecule: microRNA precursor, 65 nt
Filed under: Columba livia (rock pigeon)
Lineage: Eukaryota; Metazoa; Chordata; Aves; Columbiformes; Columbidae
Description: Cli-Mir-17-P2c_pre stem-loop
Rfam family: mir-17 microRNA precursor family
About the family: This family represents the microRNA (miRNA) precursor mir-17, family, which includes mir-20, mir-91, and mir-103. miRNAs are transcribed as ~70nt precursors (modelled here) and subsequently processed by the Dicer enzyme to give a ~22nt product. In this case the mature sequence comes from the 3' arm of the precursor. The extents of the hairpin precursors are not generally known and are estimated based on hairpin prediction.
Source: RNAcentral
UAAGGUGCAUCUAGUGCAGUUAGUGAAGUAGCGUAGAAUCUACUGCCCUAAAUGCUCCUUCUGGC